GAUGAACGCUGGCGGCGUGCCUAAUACAUGCAAGUCGAGCGAACAGACGAGGAGCUUGCUCCUCUGACGUUAGCGGCGGACGGGUGAGUAACACGUGGAUAACCUACCUAUAAGACUGGGAUAACUUCGGGAAACCGGAGCUAAUACCGGAUAAUAUAUUGAACCGCAUGGUUCAAUAGUGAAAGACGGUUUUGCUGUCACUUAUAGAUGGAUCCGCGCCGCAUUAGCUAGUUGGUAAGGUAACGGCUUACCAAGGCGACGAUGCGUAGCCGACCUGAGAGGGUGAUCGGCCACACUGGAACUGAGACACGGUCCAGACUCCUACGGGAGGCAGCAGUAGGGAAUCUUCCGCAAUGGGCGAAAGCCUGACGGAGCAACGCCGCGUGAGGGAUGAAGGUCUUCGGAUCGUAAAACUCUGUUAUUAGGGAAGAACAAAGGUGUAAGUAACUAUGCACGUCUUGACGGUACCUAAUCAGAAAGCCACGGCUAACUACGUGC
This 498-nucleotide ribosomal RNA is filed under the name uncultured bacterium. Its description in RNAcentral is "partial 16S ribosomal RNA". It matches the Rfam family "Bacterial small subunit ribosomal RNA", at positions 28 to 508 of the family's 1533-position model. The record is from RNAcentral.